GCCCCUGUAGUUCAAUGGACAGAACUGCGGACUUCUAAGCCGCUAAUGGGGGUUCGAUUCCUCCCAGGGGCG
This 72-nucleotide transfer RNA is filed under the name Candidatus Terrybacteria bacterium RIFCSPHIGHO2_01_FULL_58_15. RNAcentral describes it as "tRNA-Arg". It matches the Rfam family "tRNA". From Rfam's summary of the family: Transfer RNA (tRNA) molecules are approximately 80 nucleotides in length. Their secondary structure includes four short double-helical elements and three loops (D, anti-codon, and T loops). Lineage: Bacteria; Candidatus Terryibacteriota. The record is from RNAcentral. RNAcentral also lists the same sequence under 1 other name.